UACAGGGGGGGCAAGCGUUGUUCGGAAUUACUGGGCGUAAAGGGCUCGUAGGCGGCCAACUAAGUCCGACGUGAAAUCCCCAAGCUUAACUUGGGAACUGCGUCGGAUACUGGAUGGCUUGAAUCCGGGAGAGGGAUGCGGAAUUCCAGGUGUAGCGGUGAAAUGCGUAGAUAUCUGGAGGAACACCGGUGGCGAAGGCGGCAUCCUGGACCGGCAUUGACGCUGAGGCGCGAAAGCCAGGGGAGCAAACGGG
This 253-nucleotide ribosomal RNA is filed under the name uncultured bacterium. RNAcentral's name for it is "partial 16S ribosomal RNA". It matches the Rfam family "Bacterial small subunit ribosomal RNA", at positions 524 to 776 of the family's 1533-position model. The record is from RNAcentral.